RNAcentral lists this ribosomal RNA (377 nucleotides) under uncultured bacterium. RNAcentral describes it as "bacterial SSU rRNA". It matches the Rfam family "Bacterial small subunit ribosomal RNA", at positions 521 to 896 of the family's 1533-position model. The record is from RNAcentral.
UAAUACAGAGGCCUCAAGCGUUGUUCGGAUUCAUUGGGCGUAAAGGGUGCGUAGGUGGCUUGUUAAGUUGAAGGUGAAAUCUCGGGGCUCAACUCCGAAACUGCCUUCAAUACUGGCGAGCUCGAGGAUUGUAGAGGAGAAUGGAAUUCACGGUGUAGCAGUGAAAUGCGUAGAUAUCGUGAGGAAGACCAGUGGCGAAGGCGAUUCUCUGGGCAAUUCCUGACACUGAGGCACGAAGGCCAGGGGAGCAAACGGGAUUAGAUACCCCGGUAGUCCUGGCAGUAAACGGUGCACGUUUGGUGUGGGAGGAUUCGACCCCUUCCGUGCCGGAGCUAACGCGUUAAACGUGCCGCCUGGGAAGUACGGUCGCAAGAUUA